RNAcentral lists this unclassified non-coding RNA (336 nucleotides) under soil metagenome. RNAcentral's name for it is "partial contains 5.8S ribosomal RNA, internal transcribed spacer 2, and large subunit ribosomal RNA". The stretch from base 1 to 120 matches the Rfam family "5.8S ribosomal RNA", at positions 35 to 154 of the family's 154-position model. The record is from RNAcentral.
GAUGAAGAACGUAGCGAAAUGCGAUAAGUAAUGUGAAUUGCAGAAUUCAGUGAAUCAUCGAAUCUUUGAACGCACAUUGCGCCCGGUAGUAUUCUGCCGGGCAUGCCUGUUCGAGCGUCAUUUCAACCAUCAAGCCCCAGGCUUGUGUUGGGGACCUGCGGCUGCCGCAGGCCCUGAAAACCAGUGGCGGGCUCGCUGUCACACCGGGCGUAGUAGAUUUUAUCUCGCUCAGGGCGUGCUGCGGGUUCCGGCCGUUAAAAAGCCUUUUUUACCCAAGGUUGACCUCGGAUCAGGUAGGAAGACCCGCUGAACUUAAGCAUAUCAAUAAGCGGAGGA